UCGCCUCUUGCAACAAUUAAGUAUAAGAGGUCCCGCCUGCCCAGUGACUAGUUCAACGGCCGCGGUAUCAUGACCGUGCAAAGGUAGCGUAAUCACUUGUCUUUUAAAUAAAGACCCGUAUGAAAGGCAAAACGAAAGUUCGACUGUCUCUUUAAUCCAAUCAAUGAAAUUUAUCUUUUCGUGCAGAGGCGGAGAUAAAUAUAUAAGACGAGAAGACCCUAUGGAGCUUUAAACACACUAUUAACUACUACAAUAAUUUCAACCAACAGGCAAAAAAUCAUAAACCACAUAGCCAUAAUAUAAGUUUUGGGUUGGGGCGACCACGGAGCAAAAAAAAUCCUCCGAGAUAAAUAAUUUAGAAUAACACUUCGAAAAUUAAAACAUUUAUUAUAAAUGAUCCACUAAGUGACCAACGAACCAAGUUACCCUAGGGAUAACAGCGCAAUCCUUUCUAAGAGUCCAUAUCGACGAAUGGGUUUACGACCUCGAUGUUGGAUCAGGACACCCAAAUGGUGCAGCCGCUGUUAAAGGUUCGUUUGUUCAACGAUUAAAGUCCUAC
RNAcentral lists this ribosomal RNA (559 nucleotides) under Tylototriton wenxianensis (Wenxian knobby newt). Its description in RNAcentral is "partial 16S ribosomal RNA". It matches the Rfam family "Bacterial large subunit ribosomal RNA", at positions 1816 to 2599 of the family's 2925-position model. Lineage: Eukaryota; Metazoa; Chordata; Amphibia; Caudata; Salamandridae. The record is from RNAcentral.